Long non-coding RNA from Carassius carassius (crucian carp), 872 nucleotides. RefSeq lists it as uncharacterized. NCBI's taxonomy places the organism in Eukaryota, Metazoa, Chordata, Actinopteri, Cypriniformes, Cyprinidae. The transcript has 8 exons. The record is from RefSeq and is a predicted model, not a curated record.
CCUGAGCGGACCCGUAGCCGACAUCAGUUGAGAAUUUCUUUGCUGGGACACUGUUGCGCUGAACCCUUUUUUGAAACAAAAAUGAAUAGAAAGACUGAGCCUGUCUCCUUAUCAACCUUAAGGCGAAGGACACGUGUAGACGUUCAAAAAAGACUUCAUCAAAUUAGGACAGACAUGACUGAUAUGGACAUGACAGGAAUAGGGGCAGAAGACAUAGUUCUUUCUGAGAACACUGCCCCACCCUCUUCAGCUUAUCCAAAAUGAUAAUGGAUGCCUUUUCAUCUAAUUGAAUUUCAAGUGAGCAAGGACAUCGCUGUUGUGCCAGUUGACUGGUAUGAUGACGGGAUGGUGUACUGGCCCAGCUUUAAGAGCACUGAACGUGUGAAAAGGGCAGCUGCUAACGAGGAGAAGCAUGAGCCAAACUGGCCAAGAUAUGAUGUAAAGGUCGUAAGAACUUGUGACAAGUACAAAUACGCCAUUAGGCUUAUGACUCAAUAUCAGAACGGCUGCAACUCCUCUGAGCUACAGUCUGAGGCAUAGCAGGAGGACAAGCUGCCAGAUAAAAGAUUCAGGAAGCCACUCCAUCGUUUUGGGGACUCUGAGGAGAGUGAAGAAGAGCCAGAAAAUGGUGACUUUGCAUCUCUGAGGAUGCCACGGCCUUCCAACUUGCCUGGUGUAUCAGUUGAAGCCUCAUCCCCAAGCCAAUUGCACUGGAAGACUCCAUCAUCUUGCAGAGUGCCAGGCAGCAGAGUAACUACUCCUCAACCUGGAGAAAACUGUCUAGCGCCAGACUAUGGGGCAGGACAGCAGCACCCUUCACCACCUCAACUCCCAACACCCGCAUUUAACAUGCGGAGACUGAUUUCGGAAAU